AAAACGACUCUCGGCAACGGAUAUCUCGGCUCUCGCAUCGAUAAAGAACGUAGCGAAAUGCGAUACUUGGUGUGAAUUGCAGAAUCCCGUGAACCAUCGAGUCUUUGAACGCAAGUUGCGCCCUAAGCCUUCUGGCCGAGGGCACGUCUGCCUGGGUGUCACAAA
This 165-nucleotide ribosomal RNA is filed under the name Alyssum bosniacum. RNAcentral describes it as "5.8S ribosomal RNA". It matches the Rfam family "5.8S ribosomal RNA". From Rfam's summary of the family: 5.8S ribosomal RNA (5.8S rRNA) is a component of the large subunit of the eukaryotic ribosome. It is transcribed by RNA polymerase I as part of the 45S precursor that also contains 18S and 28S rRNA. Functionally, it is thought that 5.8S rRNA may be involved in ribosome translocation. The record is from RNAcentral. Lineage: Eukaryota; Viridiplantae; Streptophyta; Magnoliopsida; Brassicales; Brassicaceae.